UGGGGGAUAUUGCACAAUGGGCGAAAGCCUGAUGCAGCGACGCCGCGUGGGGGAUGAAGGCCUUCGGGUUGUAAACUUCUUUUGCUCUGAACAAGGCGCACCAUGGGGUGUGUUGAGUGUAGGGGUUGAUUAGCGCCGGCUAACUACGUGCCAUCAGCCGCGGUAAUACGUAGGGCGCGAGCGUUGUCCGGAAUUAUUGGGCGUAAAGGGCUUGUAGGUGGCUGGUUGCGUCUGUCGUUAAAGCUCAUGGCUUAACUGUGGGUUUGCGGUGGGUACGGGCUGGCUUGAGUGCAGUAGGGGAGGCUGGAAUUCCUGGUGUAGCGGUGGAAUGCGCAGAUAUCAGGAGGAAUACCGGUGGCGAAGGCGGGUCUCUGGGCUGUUACUGACACUGAGGAGCGAAAGCAUGGGGAGCGAACAGG
RNAcentral lists this ribosomal RNA (419 nucleotides) under bacterium. RNAcentral's name for it is "partial 16S ribosomal RNA". It matches the Rfam family "Bacterial small subunit ribosomal RNA", at positions 355 to 776 of the family's 1533-position model. The record is from RNAcentral.